RNAcentral lists this transfer RNA (86 nucleotides) under Klebsiella pneumoniae. RNAcentral's name for it is "tRNA-Ser". It matches the Rfam family "tRNA". Rfam says of the family: Transfer RNA (tRNA) molecules are approximately 80 nucleotides in length. Their secondary structure includes four short double-helical elements and three loops (D, anti-codon, and T loops). RNAcentral also lists the same sequence under 1 other name. The record is from RNAcentral. Lineage: Bacteria; Pseudomonadati; Pseudomonadota; Gammaproteobacteria; Enterobacterales; Enterobacteriaceae.
GGAUAGUUGGCAGAGUGGUAAUGCAGCUGAGUGCUAAUCAGUAGACUGGAAACGGUCCAUAGGUUCGAAUCCUAUACUAUCCGCCA